RNAcentral lists this ribosomal RNA (500 nucleotides) under uncultured bacterium. RNAcentral's name for it is "partial 16S ribosomal RNA". It matches the Rfam family "Bacterial small subunit ribosomal RNA", at positions 28 to 507 of the family's 1533-position model. The record is from RNAcentral.
GACGAACGCUGGCGGCGUGCUUAACACAUGCAAGUCGAACGGGUCUGCCCUGUUUUUUGCGGGGUGGGUCAGUGGCGAACGGGUGAGUAACACGUGAGUAACCUGCCCCUCACUUCUGGAUAACCGCUUGAAAGGGUGGCUAAUACGGGGUGUUCUGGCUGUGCCGCAUGGUGUGGCUGGGAAAGAUUCACUUUUGUGGUGUUUUGGUGGGGGAUGGGCUCGCGGCCUAUCAGCUUGUUGGUGGGGUGAUGGCCUGCCAAGGCUUUGACGGGUAGCCGGCCUGAGAGGGUGGGCGGUCACACUGGGACUGAGAUACGGCCCAGACUCCUGGGGGGGGCAGCAGUGGGGGGUAUUGCACAAUGGGCGGAAGCCUGAUGCAGCGACGUCGCGGGAGGGAUGGAGGCCUUCGGGUUGUGAACCUCUUUCGCCGGUGAAGAAGGUCCUGCUCUUUGGGGUGGGGUUGACGGUAGCCGGGUUAUGAAGCGCCGGCUAACUACGUG